GUAUAUCCGGCUCUGACGUGAAUGGGGUCUCCCUGGAGAUCAUAAUCAGGAAAAGGGGGAUUUUCUACAGCACUUACUGUUGAAUAACCUUGACUAUCUCUCUUAUUUUUAUUUUUUACUCUUUCAGCUCCAGAGGACUGAAGAGGAGGUCUGGGUCCAGUAAAGGGAGGGUUAAAGAGGGCAGGAGGCGGAGACAGGAACAAAAACACAAGACGGUGAAGCAGAGAGAGACAGAGAGAAGAGGACCAGUGACUGUGACACAGAUAAUCAGACUGAGACUUUAAAGAUGGAUUUAAGUUCGCUUCAAGCUCUGGAGAGAGAAAGAGUCCUGGAGGUUCUUCGAAGAGACAAACAGCUGCGUACUAUUGAAGAGGACAGGAUAAGGAGGAUGAAAUAUGAGCUCCAGGAGCUUCGAAGGAGAGGCGCAAAGAGUUUCGCCCGGCAGUACGGCGAGCGGACCUGCGCCCGCUGCCAGAGGCCGCUGGGAAAGUUCUGGAACUCGGGCGCAGUCUGUCGCGGCUGCAGCCACCGCAUCUGCAGCAAGUGCCGCGUGGGCGUGGGAGCGACGGGCUGGAAGUGCACGGUCUGCCACGCCUACAGGGACGUGAAGUUCAGGUCUGGAGAGUGGUUCUUAGAGGAGAGAGCAAAGAAAUUUUCAGUCACCACAGACAAAUAUGAGAUGGUUGGGGAGAAAAUAUUAAAGACCUACAACAUGCUGCGUCAUAUAUCAAUUGUGCCUCCCACUCCUCCACCCUACUUGGAUUGUCCAUUUCUGAGCAGAUCUGGGGAUUUGAAAAACUCAAAACCUUUCACCAAAUCUAUGGAAGAUCUAAUGUUUUCCUUCACCAGUCAUAUUAGGACAGGGAUUUCCACUUCUCAGAGCGAUGUGCGAGGAGACCUGCUGAGAGUUGACAACAACCGGAGAGGGUCGUGCUUAAAGUACAGCUCCCAAAAGAGCCUCUCUGACACUGACAUCAGCAAAUCUCACAAUCUCUUUAAAGGACCCAGUCUUCCAAACCUGUUCAAGAAAAGCAAAGACAGCGACCAGGAAGGCUACUCAACCGGGGCGGAAGAAGAAACAUCUUAUGGUUCUGAGUACUCUGGAGGAAAGAGAGGCAGUAGCAGUAGCAGCAUCAGCACAGACUGUGGCCUCUUCGAGAGCAUCGGCAUAGCAGGAGAGCUGGAACUGGCUCUGGCCUUCAACACCAAUAAAUCUUGUCUGGAAAUCACUGUCGGCGCCUGCAGAAAUCUCUCCUACGGAGACACCAAGAAGAAGAAGUGUCAUCCAUAUGUCAAACUCUACAUGCUGCCGGGAAUGAGCGGUAAAAUGAAGACGACGGUCAAGAAAAACACGACCGAUCCGGUUUAUAAUGAAGUUUUAAAGUAUGACAUAGAGCGCCACCUGCUGUUCGGCAAGAGACUGCAGGUCUCUGUGUGGCAUUCAGGAACCCUGAGAAGGAAGGUGUUUCUCGGUGAGGUCCUCGUCCCGCUGGACGGCUGGAGAUUUGAGGACAAGGACUCCCAGGGCUUCAACUGGUACCCGCUUUGUCCAAAGGCUGAGAGUCCAGACGGAGGCGCUGUGGAGCAAUAUGUUGGAGAUCUGCUGGUCAGAGCCAAGUUCAGCUCCAACCACCAGGGUGUCUGACUCUGGGAGCAGGCAGAGAGCUCAUCCAGACGACGGCCAUUUCUGAGGGUGAGACGGCUCUCUGAACCCAGAGCUGUGGCCCCUGCUGGCCCUCUGACGGACCCCUGGUGAGGGCCUCAGGCAACUAUCACUCUGGGUUCACCAUGGCAACAGGUGUAUUGACGUCAGCUUCAUCCGUCUCCCGCCAAACGUCGACAUCGGGAGAACGUGAUCACGUUCAACGCCUCUGCCCAGCAACUGACUCUGCACUUUGACAUGGUCACAGUGCAGUAUUUAUCCUGUAAGAACUGUAAGCCAUCAUACGUUUGUAAAGAAAUGUUUUUUAUUUAUUUAUCUAUAAAACUGAAUCACUUUAUAAUUAAAAGUAUUUAAGUCUGGAACUUUAACGUCCCUCUUCUUAAACUGACAAAGUGGCUAUAAUUAUGCAGAAACAUUACACCCAUCAGUACUACUAUUUAUUUUAUUUUCCAUUAUUUUGUAUGUAUUUUUUCUAUUAAAAUACUGGUAAUAAUGAUAAGGGUUUGAAUCUGACCAUGGCUCUUUGCUCUCUCUUCCUUCCUGGCUAUCACUUUAACGAUGCAAUGAAGGC
This is an RNA transcript of Anarrhichthys ocellatus (wolf-eel), 2234 nucleotides long. It is a transcript of the gene named synaptotagmin-like 3, with no coding region annotated. NCBI's taxonomy places the organism in Eukaryota, Metazoa, Chordata, Actinopteri, Perciformes, Anarhichadidae. The transcript has 14 exons. The record is from RefSeq and is a predicted model, not a curated record.